This 880-nucleotide long non-coding RNA is filed under the name Homo sapiens (human). RNAcentral describes it as "HSALNT0025807". Lineage: Eukaryota; Metazoa; Chordata; Mammalia; Primates; Hominidae. The record is from RNAcentral.
UUGCUCAGGGAAUCCUGCUCCAGGGCGUGCUCACUUGCUGUUAUUGUGUUUUAUUUUUCCUGAGACUGUAAAUGGAGCGGAUAGAAGUUCAGAACCAUCGGUCCCUCUUCUUCCUGGGUCAUCCUGAGCUCGGCAGUGAGAGCACCUACGACUAGGGAGCGGCCGAGCAGAGGGAACAAGGCCGUGCCCGCUAAGGUUCUCCCGGGACGGUGGCGAGCCCACGCUUGCCAGGCAUGACGCCUCGACCUCCAGCGUCCAGAGCGUCCCUUCAUUGGUUCACAGGAACUUUUCACAUGUGUCCGUCCACUUUUCUUAGGAAUAUUUAUUUAGGUGAGGUUAUUCAUUCUGACACUGGAAGAAAAGUGCAAAACCUCGUGUGGACUUCGUAGGUGGAGCAUUUGAGUUAUCAUCGGAAAACUAGAGCCCGGACUGUAUGAGGAAGGUAAUUCAUGUUUACAACUGAUUAUUGCUUUGGGUGAUUUUCUCUAAUGCAAUAAUAAAAAUAGUAGAAAGAAACUUUUCAACUGUGAAACCCAAACUUAAUAUUACUAUAUCAUUAUUAUCAGUCUUUAAACACCUAUUUCAGACAAGUUUUUUAAAAUAUAAAGACAAGACCUAAUAAGAGGUGUGAGUUUUACAAAUAUACCAGAAAAGUGUGUGCCUGAAUAAGUGUUGACCCCUCAGAGUGACCCCUGCUGGUCGCAGGGAACCUGUUCCCAUCACGUCCCCACUCACCCACAAGGCAGCGGCGCCUCCUCGGUGGUCCUGGCGCCCAUGACGCGUUGCUGGGAAAAUCUCCCACCCGGACGUUAACUGUGGGCUUCACUUACUUUCAGUUCCUGGGGGAAGGCUCGACAGAGCAAGCUUUAGUCCCCCUCAA